Molecule: long non-coding RNA, 1133 nt
Organism: Equus asinus (donkey)
Lineage: Eukaryota; Metazoa; Chordata; Mammalia; Perissodactyla; Equidae
Source: Ensembl
GGACAACAAGGAGGAGAAAAGCAGACAGACAACGUGGAGGCUGCCUUGUAUACAGGAUGGAUUCUCCGUGAUGUUACUUUGAAUAUGGUCUUGGCAUAGGAAACAUCAGGAAGUAUUCACCAAUUCAAGAAUUUGAGUGUUUGUGAAGUUUUCAUUCAUUACAAAAAUGAUCCAAGUCAAGUAAAUACAGCCAACACUUCAAGGUACCCAAGGAAGUAAGAAAAAGUUUUGUCUCUAGGAUUGUGCUUGGAAUAUGCUACAAAAAUGUCAGAGAUAAAGAAGAAAACCACUAGAGUUUCUCUGACCAUCAGUUCCCCAGUUAAUGAAACCUCCAACAUCAGAUCAAGUUAUUCUACCUUAGUUCAACCAUUGUGUAUUGACCCCCAGAGGAUGCAGAGUCCCUGCAGCAGCCUGUCAGGAUCCACUUGCACUGCAGCCCCUGUGUUUACCAAGGUAACCUAUCCUUUACUACACGAUGGAGUUUGACUUUAUAGAUAAAUUGUAGACAUUAUCGACCCCGGGGUGGGGGUGGAGGGCGGGUAAUCAGGAUUUAAGGGGGAAAUUUACCACAAUCGCCACCCCUUCAUUUAUGCAUUGUGAGACUAAACUAGCUAUUGUUAAUAAACAUUUUUUGUAUAUCAAUAUAACUCUUCAUUCUUUAAGAAAAGUUUUCAGAUUGUUUAUCUGAAACGAGCCUUGAACCCUCAGAGUAGGCUGGGCUUUUUGCUAGCCCUAUUUCACAGAUCAAGAACCUGAGUUCCACAGAGGUUAAGAGUCUUUUCCGAGUCCUGUGAUCAGCUUCAACUAGCUGGUCACAGUGUUGAGAUUUGGGCCCAUGUCCUCUAAGUCAUGAUUCAGAGCCCUUAACAAAUUACAAUGCUGCCCAUGCUCCUGUGACCAACAGUAAAGACUAAAUCUGUGACUAGGUAUGUACUCAACAAAAUAAUCUAACACAACAAACUGAAGACUUCUCCACUCACCUGUUUUCCAUUUUGAAAAAUGGCUCUUGGGGAAGUGAAUAACAAGUUUCUCAUUAAAAACAACUCUAUGAAGUUAAGAUAAAAAUAACCUAUACCUGACUGUAAAGCACACUAUAAAGCACAAAAGAAUGCCCAGCAGCUCCUCAUUUUGAU